Molecule: long non-coding RNA, 211 nt
Filed under: Panax ginseng (ginseng)
Lineage: Eukaryota; Viridiplantae; Streptophyta; Magnoliopsida; Apiales; Araliaceae
Description: long non-coding RNA (PGIN_LNC003535)
Source: RNAcentral
UUACCGGUACAAUGCUGGAUAACCAUAUUGGAUGUUGAAUUGGCUUGAUGAACCCUACUUCCAGCAACUUCUUGAUUUCUUCCUUUAUUUGAGUUUCUACUUCGGGUGCAUAGUUGCGAGGUGUUUGCUUUACUGGCUUCAUUCCCGGACUUAUGUUUAGAUUGUGCUCCACAAGAUCCUUGUCAAUUCCGGGCAUCUCGUCGUAAUUCCA